Molecule: long non-coding RNA, 1511 nt
Organism: Cydia pomonella (codling moth)
Lineage: Eukaryota; Metazoa; Arthropoda; Insecta; Lepidoptera; Tortricidae
Exons: 2
Source: RefSeq, a predicted model, not a curated record
UGCUGUCUUCCGAAUUCACAUGAUGGAAUGUCAACACAUUGUGCUCGUUAGAACUUUAACACAUUGUGCGAGCAAUAGGUAAUUACAAUUAAUAGGGAAACUUGAGGUACAAUGGUCUUUGUUUGUGCUUGACAAACUGGUAGUUUUUGUUUAUUUAAAAUUCAACUGUGUUUUAGUAAUCAUAAAGUCAAUAUUACUUUUUAAGUAUUAAUCUUAUUUAUUUUUGUUAAUGUAGGAAAUAUAAACCAACCAAAUCAUUUAAUCGAUACGUCGAGCACAUACAAUCUAAUUUUGACACCAUCGUCAAAUCACAUUAAGUAUCUAAGUAUCGAAAAGUGCUUUUUGACACGCACACAUUCAUGUCAACAUAUUUAACUCAGAAAAAUUAUCAAAAAAAAAACAGCUUAAGCGCUUAAUUUACUUAAUGGAUUCAAUUGGCAAAUAGAGGUUAAGAUAUCGUGACAAGACAUAAUGUAAAUAGAUAAUUGUAUCCAUUUUUUUUUUAGCCUGCUAUAGUGUCCCACUGCUGGGCAAAGGCCUCCCCUCGUUUUCUCCACUCGACCCUAAUUAAAGGCCCAAAAAUGCAGAAGAGAUUUUUCAUUACCCAUUCUACCGAAUUGUAGGUCUGUGCAAUACGCCGGCCGGUAUUUAUAACGAUACGCUUCCAUUCGCCGCACAGUUCGAGCCCACACGUCGAUAGGAGAACUUCGCUAUUCCCCAGUUUGAAACGUCCGCGCAUAUUACCGUAACUGCAUUUACAUAAACAAGAUAAUGGCGCUCUACAGAAUUGCCCUAGUUCUCACAGUAAUCGCCACUUUGGCAGCAGCGCAGAGGCCGUUCUACGCCGGGCUCAAGCCCAUUGGCUACCCGCAGAUCGAAUCAGACUUACUAGCCAACAGAUUUGGGAGUGACGAACCUGGUCCCAUAGAGUUCCAGGGAGACCCGAAUUACAGAAACAGAAUCCAACAACUGCCACAGGACCAACAGCCUUUCUGGUACCUCAACUGGCAACAGUACGACGCUCUUAGAAAAAAUCCUCAAACGUACCCUCAGCGACCCAGUGUAUUCAAUAACAGGAUUAAUAAGUAAAAAAUGUAUUUUACAAUGAGAGAAAAUUUCAAAACUUGUAAGUCGGAAUAAAUGGAUCUGAUUAUCGGAAUGGGAAUACGAUCGACGAGAAGCGAUUUACGUAAAUUGGCUUCGAUUUCUUGGCUCCUAGAUUUAAAAUAGAGAAUGUGUAAUGUUUUAAACUGUAGCUGGUAUGAAAACUUCGCAUUUUUCUUAGAUGAUUUACAGUCACAAUUUAUGUGCCAUAUUAUAUCAUAGCCAAGGUACUUACAAUAAAUGUACUUGAUGUUCUUCGUAAGGGCUCCAAUUUAUUUAAGUAUUUUUCAUAUUGGCCCAGAAAAGUGUUUGCACAAAAUACAACUUUACUGUCUCUCUAAAGAGGGCGAAUAAAUCGAUUUAUUAACUAAAUAGUUUUCUGCAGUAAAAACAUUAAUAAAAUCUUC